AGCAAGCCGGGCGAGAGGCCGGCCUCAUGGGAGGGUGGAGCCUGUUAGAGGUGUUUCCCUGGCGGAACCCAACCGUUCAGGCCCGUCAGGAGAAAGGAGAGGGACUUGUUCUAGGACUCCAGGGUGUGCGGGGAGCCCAAGGGCAGCGGGACCUGCGGCUGGCUUCUAGAAGGGUCUGGAACCCGGAAGCUUUACCUAUGGAAGGUGUUCCUCUCCUUCUGAAGACCAGCUCACUCUGCUGCCCAGGCCACAGAGCAAGCGCCCCGCCUGGGACGACGUCUUGACCCAAAGAUGGGGCACAAUGGCUGCGAGGUGCUGGGAGAGGCUGAUGGAACAGCACUGGUGGUGGAGAGCAAGAUGCCUCAUUCUUCCCUUCCGGACUCUAUAGGGGAAGCGCCUAAUGAGCUUGGAGGCAGAGACGGGGUGAUGCAGCUACAAGCAAAGGACGGCACAGACUGGCAGCAGCUACCAGGAGGUGGGCCGGGCAGGAAGCGACCUCCUGGAAGCCCUCAGGAGGAGCCAGCCAGGCCUGCAGCUCAUUCUCAGACUCCAGCCUCCAGAACUAGGAGACAGGUGCUGUUGUUGCAGCCCCCCACUUUGUGGUAUGCGGUUAUGGUAGCACCAGCAAAUUAAUACAGAGGGUGAGUGGGAUGAAACCCCACGUGGCAGCUCGCUGGCCCCAAAGGGACCCUGAUUUAGAAGGG
This is a long non-coding RNA of Rhinolophus ferrumequinum (greater horseshoe bat), 704 nucleotides long. RefSeq lists it as uncharacterized. The transcript has 3 exons. The record is from RefSeq and is a predicted model, not a curated record. Lineage: Eukaryota; Metazoa; Chordata; Mammalia; Chiroptera; Rhinolophidae.